CAUUUAAUUACGAUAAAAGAAAACUAGGCAGGAUAGUACGGAGGCCGGAUAGUCGCGAACCGGAUACUCGAGAGUGUACUGUAUUUCUAUGCAUCAAUUAAAUUGCCAUGCCUCUUUUUAAAUCCAGUCAUUCAAUCUUGUUUUUUUUUUUUUUUUUUGAUGGAUUAUUCCUUAUCGCAAUUAUAUCGAUAAAAAUGAUUUUUGUAGACUUUGAAAUUAAGUUUUCAUCAAGCCAAAUAUUUCGAUAUUUCGUUUCGCGAAAAAUAAUGUCGGACAUUAAAAAAUUAAACGUCGAACACACCAGUCUUCACCAUGCUAGAAAAGCUUUGUAUUGUUGAUUGUUCUUUCUGAUGCUGUUAUGAGUUAUUUCCUCCAUUGUUGGCCGACCUCAUAUGGCUUUGACAUCGCGCUGAGGACAAAAACCUCCCCAGCCCUCAUUAGUUUUAUGUAUAUAUGCGUUUGAGAUUGCCAGAAAAUUUUUAGUGAUUCACAACAGUAUACGGAAACGUCUCAUUCAGUUCUUCGAGAAUGUCCAGAACCAAAAUCUUAUUUUUAUUCUGUUCCCAUUCUAAAACAAACGGCGAAGGAACUUAUCUUGAGGGCUCGGAAUCUGUAUAUAGCAGUUUAUUCAUUCCCGUUUAAAAUUUUUGAGUUUUUUUUACUAAAUUCAUAAAUUUGUCAUUGGGAACUGGCAACAUUUUGAAUCAUUUUUAAGCUCUGGUUCCAUCCUUGGAGAAUUUUUGGUCGAGGACUGUAAGGUUAAGUUUAACGACUGUCAUUCGACUAACUUCUAGUAGAUUAUAAAAGUGCACGGUACGCACGCUCUACUUGCUGUCACUCGACCAAAAGCGCUUGACUAAUGGCAGCUGGCAAAAUGUUUUACUUUAUUUUAUCUAUCCCGUCAUAAGACAUGGUUGAUAAGAAUAUCCUAUCGUUUACAUUUGACCAGUUCAGAGUAUUUAAAAGCGAACAGUAUGUAUACUCUUUUUCACCCUCUUCUCCGGUUCCCGCUGAUUAGGAAAUGCCAUAACUAUUCAGUCCUUCCAAUUACAGCUUUUUAUUAUGUCAUCGUUAGUCUGGCACACAAUUUAUUACAACGAUUGGCGCAGGAAAAAUAGAACGGUUGUACUGCAAAUAUAUAUAUAUAUUAACUGUAGUUUUGCCCUCUUCUGGGUCAGUCGUACUUUUCUGCGAAAGCAUCUACUACGUUCGUA
This 1214-nucleotide long non-coding RNA is filed under the name Androctonus crassicauda. The record is from RNAcentral. Lineage: Eukaryota; Metazoa; Arthropoda; Arachnida; Scorpiones; Buthidae.